UACGAAGGGUGCAAGCGUUACUCGGAAUUACUGGGCGUAAAGGGUGCGUAGGUGGUUGUUUAAGUCUGUUGUGAAAGCCCCGGGCUCAACCUGGGAAUGGCAAUGGAUACUGGACAGCUAGAGUGCGGUAGAGGGUAGUGGAAUUCCCGGUGUAGCAGUGAAAUGCGUAGAGAUCGGGAGGAACACCAGUGGCGAAGGCAGCCCCCUGGGCUAACACUGACGCUCAUGCACGAAAGCGUGGGGAGCAAACAGG
RNAcentral lists this ribosomal RNA (253 nucleotides) under uncultured bacterium. RNAcentral describes it as "partial 16S ribosomal RNA". It matches the Rfam family "Bacterial small subunit ribosomal RNA", at positions 524 to 776 of the family's 1533-position model. The record is from RNAcentral.